UACGUAGGGGGCGAGCGUUGUCCGGAGUUACUGGGCGUAAAGGGCAUGCAGGCGGUCGGACGCGUUUUGUGUGACAGCGGAUGGCUUACCUAUCCGAGCAUACGAAAGACGGUUGGACUUGAGGACUCGAGAGGGACACGGAAUUCCGGGUGGAGUGGUGAAAUGCGUAGAGAUCCGGAGGAACACCGAAGGCGAAGGCAGUGUCCUGGCGAGUGACUGACGCUGAGGUGCGAAAGCCAGGGGAGCGAACGGG
Molecule: ribosomal RNA, 253 nt
Filed under: uncultured bacterium
Lineage: Bacteria
Description: partial 16S ribosomal RNA
Rfam family: Bacterial small subunit ribosomal RNA
Source: RNAcentral